Molecule: ribosomal RNA, 281 nt
Filed under: uncultured Staphylococcus sp.
Lineage: Bacteria; Bacillati; Bacillota; Bacilli; Caryophanales; Staphylococcaceae
Description: partial 16S ribosomal RNA
Rfam family: Bacterial small subunit ribosomal RNA
Source: RNAcentral
CUCCUUUGACGUUAGCGGCGGACGGGUGAGUAACACGUGGGUAACCUACCUAUAAGACCGGGAUAACUUCGGGAAACCGGAGCUAAUACCGGAUAAUAUUUCGAACCGCAUGGUUCGAUAGUGAAAGGUGGUUUUGCUAUCACUUAUAGAUGGACCCGCGCCGUAUUAGCUAGUUGGUAAGGUAACGGCUUACCAAGGCGACGAUACGUAGCCGACCUGAGAGGGUGAUCGGCCACACUGGAACUGAGACACGGUCCAGACUCCUACGGGAGGCAGCAGGU